UGCCUCUAAGAGGGGAAUAACAUUCUGAAAAGAAUGCUAAUACCGCAUAAUAUAUAUUUAUCGCAUGGUAGAUAUAUCAAAGAUUUAUCGCUUAGAGAUGGACUCGCGUCCGAUUAGUUAGUUGGUGAGGUAACGGCUCACCAAGACCGCGAUCGGUAGCCGGACUGAGAGGUUGAACGGCCACAUUGGGACUGAGACACGGCCCAGACUCCUACGGGAGGCAGCAGUGGGGGAUAUUGCGCAAUGGGGGAAACCCUGACGCAGCAACGCCGCGUGAAGGAUGAAGGUCUUCGGAUUGUAAACUUCUUUUAUUAAGGACGAAGAAAGUGACGGUACUUAAUGAAUAAGCUCCGGCUAACUACGUGCCAGCAGCCGCGGUAAUACGUAGGGAGCAAGCGUUGUCCGGAUUUACUGGGUGUAAAGGGUGCGUAGGCGGCUUUGCAAGUCAGAUGUGAAAUCUAUGGGCUCAACCCAUAGCCUGCAUUUGAAACUGCAGAGCUUGAGUGAAGUAGAGGCAGGCGGAAUUCCCCGUGUAGCGGUGAAAUGCGUAGAGAUGGGGAGGAACACCAGUGGCGAAGGCGGCCUGCUGGGCUUUAACUGACGCUGAGGCACGAAAGCGUGGGUAGCAAACAGGAUUAGAUACCCUGGUAGUCCACGCUGUAAACGAUGAUUACUAGGUGUGGGGGGUCUGACCCCUUCCGUGCCGGAG
RNAcentral lists this ribosomal RNA (709 nucleotides) under uncultured bacterium. RNAcentral describes it as "bacterial SSU rRNA". It matches the Rfam family "Bacterial small subunit ribosomal RNA", at positions 127 to 851 of the family's 1533-position model. The record is from RNAcentral.